Molecule: ribosomal RNA, 397 nt
Filed under: uncultured bacterium
Lineage: Bacteria
Description: partial 16S ribosomal RNA
Rfam family: Bacterial small subunit ribosomal RNA
Source: RNAcentral
AUACGUAGGUGGCAAGCGUUGUCCGGAUUUAUUGGGCGUAAAGCGAGCGCAGGCGGUUCUUUAAGUCUGAUGUGAAAGCCCCCGGCUCAACCGGGGAGGGUCAUUGGAAACUGGAGGACUUGAGUGCAGAAGAGGAGAGUGGAAUUCCAUGUGUAGCGGUGAAAUGCGUAGAUAUAUGGAGGAACACCAGUGGCGAAGGCGGCUCUCUGGUCUGUAACUGACGCUGAGGCUCGAAAGCGUGGGGAGCAAACAGGAUUAGAUACCCUGGUAGUCCACGCCGUAAACGAUGAGUGCUAAGUGUUGGAGGGUUUCCGCCCUUCAGUGCUGCAGCUAACGCAUUAAGCACUCCGCCUGGGGAGUACGGCCGCAAGGCUGAAACUCAAAGGAAUUGACGGGG